Molecule: ribosomal RNA, 484 nt
Filed under: uncultured bacterium
Lineage: Bacteria
Description: partial 16S ribosomal RNA
Rfam family: Bacterial small subunit ribosomal RNA
Source: RNAcentral
AUUGAACGCUGGCGGCAUGCUUUACACAUGCAAGUCGAACGGCAGCGCGGGCUUCGGCCUGGCGGCGAGUGGCGAACGGGUGAGUAAUACAUCGGAACGUGCCCAGUAGUGGGGGAUAGCUCGGCGAAAGCCGGAUUAAUACCGCAUACGGCCUGAGGGUGAAAGCGGGGGAUCUUCGGACCUCGCGCUAUUGGAGCGGCCGAUGGCAGAUUAGCUAGUUGGUGGGGUAAAGGCCUACCAAGGCGACGAUCUGUAGCUGGUCUGAGAGGACGACCAGCCACACUGGGACUGAGACACGGCCCAGACUCCUACGGGAGGCAGCAGUGGGGAAUUUUGGACAAUGGGCGAAAGCCUGAUCCAGCAAUGCCGCGUGUGUGAUGAAGGCCUUCGGGUUGUAAAGCACUUUUGGCGGGAACGAAAAGGACUGUGCCAAUACCACGGUUCGAUGACGGUACCCGCAGAAUAAGCACCGGCUAACUACGUG